RNAcentral lists this ribosomal RNA (627 nucleotides) under uncultured Lachnospiraceae bacterium. RNAcentral's name for it is "bacterial SSU rRNA". It matches the Rfam family "Bacterial small subunit ribosomal RNA", at positions 79 to 720 of the family's 1533-position model. The record is from RNAcentral. Lineage: Bacteria; Bacillati; Bacillota; Clostridia; Lachnospirales; Lachnospiraceae.
UUACUUUCUCAAGCGAGUGGCGAACGGGUGAGUAACGCGUGAGGAACCUGCCUCAAAGAGGGGGACAACAGUUGGAAACGACUGCUAAUACCGCAUAAGCCCACGACCCGGCAUCGGGUAGAGGGAAAAGGAGCAAUCCGCUUUGAGAUGGCCUCGCGUCCGAUUAGCUAGUUGGUGAGGUAAUGGCCCACCAAGGCGACGAUCGGUAGCCGGACUGAGAGGUUGAACGGCCACAUUGGGACUGAGACACGGCCCAGACUCCUACGGGAGGCAGCAGUGGGGAAUAUUGCACAAUGGGGGAAACCCUGAUGCAGCGACGCCGCGUGGAGGAAGAAGGUCUUCGGAUUGUAAACUCCUGUUGUUGAGGAAGAUAAUGACGGUACUCAACAAGGAAGUGACGGCUAACUACUUGCCAGCAGCCGCGGUAAAACGUAGGUCACAAGCGUUGUCCGGAAUUACUGGGUGUAAAGGGAGCGCAGGCGGGAAGACAAGUUGGAAGUGAAAUCCCAUGGGCUCAACCCAUGAACUGCUUUCAAAACUGUUUUUCUUGAGUAGUGCAGAGGUAGGCGGAAUUCCCGGUGUAGCGGUGGAAUGCGUAGAUAUCCGGGAGGAACACCAGUGGCGAAG